GACGAACGCUGGCGGCGUGCUUAACACAUGCCAGUCGAACGGAAAGGCCCUGCUUUUGUGGGGUGCUCGAGUGGCGAACGGGUGAGUAACACGUGAGUAACCUGCCCUUGACUUUGGGAUAACUUCAGGAAACUGGGGCUAAUACCGGAUAGGAGCUCCUGCUGCAUGGUGGGGGUUGGAAAGUUUCGGCGGUUGGGGAUGGAUUCGCGGCUUAUGAGCUUGUUGGUGGGGUAGUGGCUUACCAAGGCUUGGAAGGGUAGCCGGCCUGAGAGGGUGACCGGCCACAUUGGGACUGAGAUACGGCCCAGACUCCUACGGGAGGCAGCAGUGGGGAAUAUUGCACAAUGGGCGGAAGCCUGAUGCAGCAACGCCGCGUGCGGGAUGACGGCCUUCGGGUUGUAAACCGCUUUCGCCUGUGACGAAGCGUGAGUGACGGUAAUGGGUAAAGAAGCACCGGCUAACUACGUG
RNAcentral lists this ribosomal RNA (468 nucleotides) under uncultured bacterium. Its description in RNAcentral is "partial 16S ribosomal RNA". It matches the Rfam family "Bacterial small subunit ribosomal RNA", at positions 28 to 507 of the family's 1533-position model. The record is from RNAcentral.